This 492-nucleotide ribosomal RNA is filed under the name uncultured bacterium. RNAcentral describes it as "partial 16S ribosomal RNA". It matches the Rfam family "Bacterial small subunit ribosomal RNA", at positions 29 to 507 of the family's 1533-position model. The record is from RNAcentral.
AGUGAACGCUGGCGGUAGGCCUAGCACAUGCAAGUCGAACGGCAGCACAGUAAGAGCUUGCUCUUACGGGUUGCGAGUGGCGGACGGGUGAGGAAUACAUCGGAAUCUACUUUUUCGUGGGGGAUAACGUAGGGAAACUUACGCUAAUACCGCAUACGACCUACGGGUGAAAGCAGGGGAUCUUCGGACCUUGCGCGAUUGAAUGAGCCGAUGUCGGAUUAGCUAGUUGGCGGGGUAAAGGCCCACCAAGGCGACGAUCCGUAGCUGGUCUGAGAGGAUGAUCAGCCACACUGGAACUGAGACACGGUCCAGACUCCUACGGGAGGCAGCAGUGGGGAAUAUUGGACAAUGGGCGCAAGCCUGAUCCAGCCAUACCGCGUGGGUGAAGAAGGCCUUCGGGUUGUAAAGCCCUUUUGUUGGGAAAGAAAAGCAGCAGGUUAAUACCCCGCUGUUCUGACGGUACCCAAAGAAUAAGCACCGGCUAACUUCGUG